UGGGGAAUUUUCCACAAUGGGCGAAAGCCUGAUGGAGCAACGCCGCGUGUGUGAUGAAGGGUUUCGGCUCGUAAAACACUGUUGUAAGAGAAGAAUGACAUUGAGAGUAACUGUUCAAUGUGUGACGGUAUCUUACCAGAAAGGAACGGCUAAAUACGUGCCAC
RNAcentral lists this ribosomal RNA (164 nucleotides) under uncultured bacterium. Its description in RNAcentral is "partial 16S rRNA". It matches the Rfam family "Bacterial small subunit ribosomal RNA", at positions 355 to 511 of the family's 1533-position model. The record is from RNAcentral.